Long non-coding RNA from Acromyrmex echinatior (Panamanian leafcutter ant), 445 nucleotides. RefSeq lists it as uncharacterized. Lineage: Eukaryota; Metazoa; Arthropoda; Insecta; Hymenoptera; Formicidae. The record is from RefSeq and is a predicted model, not a curated record.
UUCAAAUCGAACGUAACUCAUAUUUACAUUAAAAACUAUAAAUUGACUAACUGUCUGUUUGCGAAUUAUGGACUAACUUUCAGCGUGGAUAAUGUAGAAAUUGAGCUUAAGAAUUAAUUAUACACGUGCUGUGGAGAUGGCGUCACAUGGAGUACAAUUGUGACGUUGCGAGCAUUAGUCGCGGCGCUCGAGUUGGUUCUUCUUCUCAGCUUUCCUUUCUUUCCCUCCCUUGAUGUCAUGGCGUUCUGCGUGUGGACCUCGUGAAGCCUCCGCGAUAGAUAAUAAGUUAAGAACGCUCAUCGUAAUAUUCAAGGAAACGAAAAUGCGGACGUGUUAGUUAAGAGGGCCGUCUCUGAAGCGCCAUCUAUUGAUAGCUGCAAGGCUGCGAAUGUAUGUAAAAUGGCUGCAUUCUAACUGUGGGCCAAUAAACUAAAUUAUCUAUCUA